AACCCUUUUAAAUGCAGUCCCGUGAGGCUGGCAAAGGGGUACAUUGGUUUUAGAAUUCGCUGCUGGCGAAUCUUCCUGAAACCUCUCUACCUCUUUGUGUCAUCACGCUGCGCACAAAGAGUUUUUUUAU
This is a non-coding RNA of Bacillus sp. CHD6a, 130 nucleotides long. Lineage: Bacteria; Bacillati; Bacillota; Bacilli; Caryophanales; Bacillaceae. The record is from Rfam.